This 492-nucleotide ribosomal RNA is filed under the name uncultured bacterium. RNAcentral's name for it is "partial 16S ribosomal RNA". It matches the Rfam family "Bacterial small subunit ribosomal RNA", at positions 29 to 507 of the family's 1533-position model. The record is from RNAcentral.
AGUGAACGCUGGCGGUAGGCCUAACACAUGCAAGUCGAACGGCAGCACAGUAAGAGCUUGCUCUUACGGGUGGCGAGUGGCGGACGGGUGAGGAAUACAUCGUAAUCUACUUUUUCGUGGGGGAUAACGUAGGGAAACUUACGCUAAUACCGCAUACGACCUACGGGUGAAAGCAGUGGAUCUUCGGACCUUGCGCGAUUGAAUGAGCCGCUGUCGGAUUAGCUAGUUGGCGGGGUAAAGGCCCACCAAGGCGACGAUCCGUAGCUGGUCUGAGAGGAUGAUCAGCCACACUGGAACUGAGACACGGUCCAGACUACUACGGGAGGCAGCAGUGGGGAAUAUUGGACAAUGGGCGCAAGCCUGAUCCAGCCAUACCGCGUGGGUGACGAAGGCCUUCGGGUUGUAAAGACCUUUUGUUGGGAAAGAACAGCAGCAGGUUAAUACCCAGCUGUUCUGACGGUACCCAAAGAAUAAGCACCGGCUAACUUCGUG